CCUACGGGAGGCAGCAGUGAGGAAUAUUGGUCAAUGGACGGAAGUCUGAACCAGCCAUGCCGCGUGCAGGAAGACGGCUCUAUGAGUUGUAAACUGCUUUUGUACAAGUGUAAACCUUAAUACGUGUAUUCAGCUGAAAGUACUUUACGAAACAGCAUCGACUAACUCCGUGCCAGCAGCCGCGGUCAUACGGAGGAUUCGAGCGUUAUCCGGAUUUAUUGGGUUUAAAGGGUGCGUAGGCGGACUGUUAAGUCAGCGGUAAAAGCCCGGGGUGCAACCCCGGCGAGCAGUUGAAACUGGCUGUCUUGAGAUGUCGAGAGGUAUGCGGAAUGCGGAGUGUAGCGGUGAAAUGCUUAGAUAUUGCGCAGAACUCCGAUUGCGAAGGCAACAUACCGGAGGCGAUCUGACGCUGAGGCACGAAAGCGUGGGUAUCGAACAGGAUUAGAUACCCCUGUAGUC
Molecule: ribosomal RNA, 459 nt
Filed under: uncultured bacterium
Lineage: Bacteria
Description: partial 16S ribosomal RNA
Rfam family: Bacterial small subunit ribosomal RNA
Source: RNAcentral